CGCCUGGGGAGUACGGUCGCAAGGCUAAAACUCAAAGGAAUUGACGGGGGCCCGCACAAGCGGUGGAGUAUGUGGUUUAAUUCGAAGCAACGCGCAGAACCUUACCUGGCCUUGACAUCCCGGGACAAUCUCAGAGAUGAGACUUUCUCUUCGGAGACUCGGUGACAGAUGCUGCAUGGCUGUCGUCAGCUCGUGUUGUGAAAUGUUCGGUUAAGUCCGGCAACGAGCGCAACCCCUAUCCUUAGUUACCAGCAUUAAUUGGGGACUCUAGGGAGACUGCCCGUGAUAAGCGGGAGGAAGGUGUGGAUGACGUCAAGUCCUCAUGGCCCUUACGGGUUGGGCUACACACGUGCUACAAUGGCAUCUACAGUGGGUAAUCCCCAAAAGAUGUCUCAGUUCGGAUUGGGGUCUGCAACUCGACCCCAUGAAGUCGGAAUCGCUAGUAAUGGCACAUCAGACGGUGCCGUGAAUACGUUCCCGGGUCUUGAACACACCGCCCGUC
Molecule: ribosomal RNA, 502 nt
Filed under: uncultured Sagittula sp.
Lineage: Bacteria; Pseudomonadati; Pseudomonadota; Alphaproteobacteria; Rhodobacterales; Roseobacteraceae
Description: bacterial SSU rRNA
Rfam family: Bacterial small subunit ribosomal RNA
Source: RNAcentral